RNAcentral lists this ribosomal RNA (528 nucleotides) under uncultured bacterium. RNAcentral describes it as "bacterial SSU rRNA". It matches the Rfam family "Bacterial small subunit ribosomal RNA", at positions 9 to 524 of the family's 1533-position model. The record is from RNAcentral.
GAGUUUGAUCGUGGCUCAGGACGAACGCUGACGGUGUGCUUUAGGCAUGCAAGUCGAACGAGAAAACCCUUCGGGGUUAGUAAAGUGGCGAACGGGUGAGUAACACGUGGGCAACCUGCCCCUCGCAGGGGGACAACCGGAGGAAACUCCGGCUAAUACCCCGUAAGCUCUCAGGGUCGCAUGGCCUUGUGAGGAAAGGUAGCUUCGGCCAUCCGGCGAGGGAUGGGCCCGCGGUGCAUUAGCUAGUUGGUGGGGUAACGGCUCACCAAGGCAACGAUGCAUAGCUGGUCUGAGAGGAUGAUCAGCCACACUGGGACUGAGACACGGCCCAGACUCUUACGGGAGGCAGCAGCCAGGAAUCUUGGGCAAUGGGCGAAAGCCUGACCCAGCAACACCGUGUGGGCGAUGAAGGCCUUAGGGUCGUAAAGCCCUGUUGAUAGGGACGAAGGGCGAAGGGUUAAUAGCCCCUAGCUUGACGGUACCUUUCGAGGAAGCCCCGGCUAACUACGUGCCAGCCGCCGCCGUAAC